Long non-coding RNA from Nycticebus coucang (slow loris), 1884 nucleotides. RefSeq lists it as uncharacterized. Lineage: Eukaryota; Metazoa; Chordata; Mammalia; Primates; Lorisidae. The transcript has 3 exons. The record is from RefSeq and is a predicted model, not a curated record.
AGUUCUAAAGAGAUGAGUAUCUUGGCAUACAUAUAAUUUACUUAUGGCACUAUGGUUGGGAAACUUUUUAAAGAGUUGGUCUCUUUAAUUAAGCCUGGGCUUAGUACUAAUCAAACAUCAGCUUUCACCCUAACCAUAGCAUCCUGCAUAGUAUGAUAGUGGGGCAGACUUCCAGUGGUUAUAGUGCUCCAGUGCCCUAGAAUCAUACGUGUAUCAGAGUUCAAUUUCCCUUUGGCCUAACCUCAUCCACUCAGUGGACUUGAAGAGGCAGUUAUUCCUUUGUGCUUUUGUAGGAAGCAGUGUUAAAAUCACUGCAGGAUGAGAAUCUCAUACCCAAAGGAUAAUUUUUUUUUUCUGAGACAGAGUCUCAUUUUGUCACCCUCAGUAGAGUGCUAUGGUGUCACAGCUCACAGCAACCUCAAACUCCUGGGCUUAAGUGAUUCUCUUGCCUCAGCCUCCUGAGUAGCUGGGACUACAGGUGCCUGCCACAACGCCUGGCUAGUUUUAGAGACAAGGUCUAACUCUGGCUCAGGCUGGUCUUGAACCUGUGAACUCAGGCAAUCUACCCGCCUUGGCCUCCCAGAGUGCUAAGAUUACAGACGUGAGCCACCAUGCCCAGCCAACCAGAGGAUAAUUUUAUUUGAUGUUUGGUGUGGUUGGGGGAAAUUACCAAGAUUUAAGUGUUGAUCUGUUUGAUUCUGUCCACUGAUCUGGUGCCCUGAAAGAGGUUGAGCUCCCACUGAAAUGGAUUAGAGGAGUUUCAGCUCCAGUACAGUCAGUGAGAUUGUUGAGUUUGCUGUUUGGUCCUUAGUUUUUUUGUUUUGUUUUGUUUUUUAGACAGUCUCAUUCUGUCGCCCAACUUAGCAUGCAGUGGCAUCAUCAUAGCUCCAUGCAACUUCAGUCUCCAGUGCUCAAGCAAUCCUCCUGCCUCAGCCUACCAGAGUGCUAGGAUUACAGGCAUGAGCCACUGGGCCCAGCAAAACCGUACUCCUUACUAAAAGGGCUGCCAGUGGGUGCAGUCUGCUCUUCAGGACCUGAGCUGUCAGGCCAAACUCCUGGGAAGAAGACAAGAUGCUAGAAGAGAGGAAGACAACUCAUUCCUAGGGGCCUUGGAAGAACAGCAGGUUUUGGACCAUGAGCAAGGAUUAAAACUGUAAGGUUUCAUGUUUCAUGCCUCUGGAGCCCUGAGCCACCAUGAAAGAGGUCUGGCCACCUCGAAGCCUCCUCAUUGGAGAGACCACAUGUAGACAGAGAUGCUGGAGGAGCCCAGCUGUUUGAGUCUUUCCAGGCCAAGAGCUAGAUGUGUGAGUGAGGAAGACUUCCUGAUGGCUCUGGCCAACCACUGUCCGAUUGCACCCACCUAGGAGACUGUUCCAGCACAAUAACACCAUAUGGGAUCCUCACCCUCAACGUGUUAAGAAAUCUAAUGGUCUUCCCUUUCCCCAGUCCUGCGCCUCCCUGUGUUUCCUGCCUUUAAUAGCAUCCUAUCCACCUGGUCAGACCAAUGGAAGACGCAGUCUUCUAGCCCUGUCCAGUUCUUUCAAUCUCUACAUUGACCUGUCCUCAAAAUGUCACUUCUCUCCUAGAACUGUCUCAGAGAAGUUAUUUUAAGAAAAAAAAUUAAUUUUAUAAUAUAACACACUGUUAAUGCAAGGCAAUUUUUAAAAUUUCUAAGUAUUAAGGGGAUACAAAUAUUUUUGUAUUUGGAUACGUUUUUUAUAACGUAUAAGUAAGGGAUUUUGGUGUGCUCAUCACCAGAGUAGUGUUCAUUGCACCUGACAGGUAGGUUUUCAAGGCAAUUUUAAUAUAUUUAAUAGAUUAUUUAAAAAACUUCCUCAUUUAACAAGUGAUACAUGCUGACUUUAACUAGGGGGAAAAAGCAUG